UGGGAAAGGUGUAGGUGGGAGAAACAGCCAUGGAUGCAGCAGCAACAGCACCGAGCAUAGAAGGAAGAAGCAGGAGUUUAAAGUUGCUGGCAAGCUGUUCUCCCACUACAAAGAAUGAAAGAAAGGAGGGCUUUGUCAACAGCAGACUGUUCUUCAACUCAAGGCAGUCGAAUGAAAGGCUAGGAGAAUAACUAGCGCCAUUCGUAAUUUGUGCCCAGUCCUAACUGUUGAUGAUAUUAAGGCUCUGAGAUUAGUUUCAGAGGACUUUCCACUCAUAUUACAGCUUUGACAUAGAUGCUGUUUGUGGUCUCGAGCUGAAACAGAGCAAGGAGUUCAAAUAAAAUGAACAUUAUUUUGACUCUCGUAGUAUGUAAGAAGAGGAAGAGGAAGAAGAAUAGGAGGAAUAGUUCUGGACUAAACUCAGAUCUUGUACCAGAAUUUUUGAAAACCAUCUUACUUUCUUUAAAUAGUCCUUAUUGCUGGUUCUUUGACAGAAGAAAGAGACAGUUCAACAGCUCUGUAAUUUAGUUAGACACAUCUGGAGAUUCAAUUUUCUAGAAGAAGAAGUGCCCAGAAUAAAGUGCAGAUGUCAAGUUUGAUGUGGGGUAGCUUCUUUUCCAGUUUGGCACACAUGAGAUGACAAGCAGGAACUCUGAAAGCAGGAAUGUAACCUUUUAAACUUUUUGUGGUGACUAAAAAACAAAGCUGUAAACUAAGGCAAAGAGAGAUGAUGUGUUUUUGAGGUCACAUGACUCGCUGAAAUCAUAUGGAACCUGGCAUCCAUUCUCCUUUGAGGGGCAACAAGAGGCAAUUUAUUGCCUUUAGUUUAUAUGCAAUUGUUGGGAUUUAUGUUUAUAUACAUUGCCUUUGUUCUUGCCACUGAUGUAUUGUAUGUAUAUCUGUAUAUAUGCUUGUGGUAGAGAUUUGAAUGUUAGUGUCAGUCAUUAGUUCUGUAGACUGAUUGGUCUGUUUGUAUUUGUUACUGGAUGCAUGAGACUGUUAUUUUUCUGUUAGAAUGAUCUUUCACUCAAAGUGAAGUUUAUCAUUUGGUAAUAGUUAAGUAGUAAACCUUAGUAACUUUGUUCAAUAAACUUAACAAGCCUCAGUUUCUGCUCUGUUACACUCCGCUACAUGGGGUUAUGAGUCUAGAGUGCUGGAAAUAAUAACAUAGGCAACAAGAAGCUUAUGAACAAGAAAUGGCUACUUUUGUAUUGACAAAGAUGCAUCCAGUUGUACAGUGCAGAGUGAUACAAACUAUAGAAAUUGGUCAUUUAAAGUAAAGAUGUGGCUAAAUACUUUUGUACUGUCUUUUGUACUGGAAGA
Molecule: long non-coding RNA, 1323 nt
Organism: Hemicordylus capensis (graceful crag lizard)
Lineage: Eukaryota; Metazoa; Chordata; Lepidosauria; Squamata; Cordylidae
Exons: 3
Source: RefSeq, a predicted model, not a curated record